RNAcentral lists this ribosomal RNA (497 nucleotides) under uncultured bacterium. RNAcentral's name for it is "partial 16S ribosomal RNA". It matches the Rfam family "Bacterial small subunit ribosomal RNA", at positions 28 to 507 of the family's 1533-position model. The record is from RNAcentral.
GGUGAACGCUGGCGGCGUGCCUAAUACAUGCAAGUCGAGCGAACGGACGAAAAGCUUGCUUCUCUGAUGUUAGCGGCGGACGGGUGAGUAACACGUGGAUAACCUACCUAUAAGACUGGGAUAACUUCGGGAAACCGGAGCUAAUACCGGAUAAUAUUUUGAACCGCAUGGUUCAAAAGUGAAAGACGGUCUUGCUGUCACUUAUAGAUGGAUCCGCGCUGCAUUAGCUAGUUGGUAAGGUAACGGCUUACCAAGGCAACGAUGCAUAGCCGACCUGAGAGGGUGAUCGGCCACACUGGAACUGAGACACGGUCCAGACUCCUACGGGAGGCAGCAGUAGGGAAUCUUCCGCAAUGGGCGAAAGCCUGACGGAGCAACGCCGCGUGAGUGAUGAAGGUCUUCGGAUCGUAAAACUCUGUUAUUAGGGAAGAACAUAUGUGUAAGUAACUGUGCACAUCUUGACGGUACCUAAUCAGAAAGCCACGGCUAACUACGUG